GGGGCUGUGGCUUGGUGGUAGAGCAUGUGCUCAGCAUGUGCGAGGGCCUGGGCUGGAUUCCCAGCAACCCGA
This 72-nucleotide transfer RNA is filed under the name Marmota monax (woodchuck). It matches the Rfam family "tRNA". From Rfam's summary of the family: Transfer RNA (tRNA) molecules are approximately 80 nucleotides in length. Their secondary structure includes four short double-helical elements and three loops (D, anti-codon, and T loops). Further hydrogen bonds mediate the characteristic L-shaped molecular structure. tRNAs have two regions of fundamental functional importance: the anti-codon, which is responsible for specific mRNA codon recognition, and the 3' end, to which the tRNAs corresponding amino acid is attached (by aminoacyl-tRNA synthetases). tRNAs cope with the degeneracy of the genetic code in two manners: having more than one tRNA (with a specific anti-codon) for a particular amino acid; and 'wobble' base-pairing, i.e. permitting non-standard base-pairing at the 3rd anti-codon position. The record is from Rfam by way of RNAcentral. Lineage: Eukaryota; Metazoa; Chordata; Mammalia; Rodentia; Sciuridae.